RNAcentral lists this ribosomal RNA (819 nucleotides) under uncultured bacterium. RNAcentral's name for it is "bacterial SSU rRNA". It matches the Rfam family "Bacterial small subunit ribosomal RNA", at positions 28 to 896 of the family's 1533-position model. The record is from RNAcentral.
AACGAACGCUGGCGGCAGGCCUAACACAUGCAAGUCGAGCGCACCUUCGGGUGAGCGGCGGACGGGUUAGUAACGCGUGGGAAUAUGCCCUUCACUACGGAAUAGCCUCGGGAAACUGAGAGUAAUACCGUAUACGCCCUUCGGGGGAAAGAUUUAUCGGUGAAGGAUUAGCCCGCGUCUGAUUAGAUAGUUGGUGGGGUAAUGGCCUACCAAGUCUACGAUCAGUAGCUGGUUUGAGAGGAUGAUCAGCAACACUGGGACUGAGACACGGCCCAGACUCCUACGGGAGGCAGCAGUGGGGAAUCUUAGACAAUGGGCGCAAGCCUGAUCUAGCCAUGCCGCGUGAGUGACGAAGGCCUUAGGGUCGUAAAGCUCUUUCACCAGAGAUGAUAAUGACAGUAUCUGGUAAAGAAACCCCGGCUAACUCCGUGCCAGCAGCCGCGGUAAUACGGAGGGGGUUAGCGUUGUUCGGAAUUACUGGGCGUAAAGCGUACGUAGGCGGAUUGGAAAGUUGGGGGUGAAAUCCCGGGGCUCAACCCCGGAACUGCCUCCAAAACUAUCAGUCUAGAGUUCGAGAGAGGUGAGUGGAAUUCCAAGUGUAGAGGUGAAAUUCGUAGAUAUUUGGAGGAACACCAGUGGCGAAGGCGGCUCACUGGCUCGAUACUGACGCUGAGGUACGAAAGUGUGGGGAGCAAACAGGAUUAGAUACCCUGGUUGUCCACACCGUAAACGAUGAAUGCCAGACGUCGGGGGGCUUGCCCUUCGGUGUCACGCCUAACGGAUUAAGCAUUCCGCCUGGGGAGUACGGUCGCAAGAUUA